CGCGACCCCAGGUCAGGCGGGGCUACCCGCUGAGUUUAAGCAUAUCAAUAAGCGGAGGAAAAGAAACUAACGAGGAUUCCCUAUAC
This 86-nucleotide ribosomal RNA is filed under the name Acacia calcicola (shrubby wattle). RNAcentral describes it as "partial large subunit ribosomal RNA". It matches the Rfam family "Eukaryotic large subunit ribosomal RNA", at positions 1 to 86 of the family's 3401-position model. The record is from RNAcentral. Lineage: Eukaryota; Viridiplantae; Streptophyta; Magnoliopsida; Fabales; Fabaceae.